Molecule: unclassified non-coding RNA, 418 nt
Filed under: soil metagenome
Description: partial contains 5.8S ribosomal RNA, internal transcribed spacer 2, and large subunit ribosomal RNA
Rfam family: 5.8S ribosomal RNA (bases 1-120)
Source: RNAcentral
GAUGAAGAACGUAGCGAAAUGCGAUAAGUAAUGUGAAUUGCAGAAUUCAGUGAAUCAUCGAAUCUUUGAACGCAUCUUGCGCUCCUUGGUAUUCCUUGGAGCAUGCCUGUUUGAGUAUCAUGAGCAAAUCUCAAAGUCAAUUCCUUUUGUUAAUUCAAUUGGUUUUGCUUUGGACUUGGAGGUCUUGCAGAUUUUCACAGUCUGCUCCUCUUAAAUGCAUAGCUGGAUCUCAGUAAUUAUGCUUGGUUCCACUCGGCGUGAUAAGUAUCACUCGCUGAGGACACUGUUAAAAAGGUGGCCAGGAAAAUACUGAUUGAACCGCUUCUAACGGUCUAUUAAGUUAGACAAUUACCCUUAAGUUUGAUCUCAAAUCAGGUAGGACUACCCGCUGAACUUAAGCAUAUCAAUAAGCGGAGGA